UAGGGAAUCUUCCACAAUGGACGCAAGUCUGAUGGAGCAACGCCGCGUGAGUGAAGAAGGUCUUCGGAUCGUAAAACUCUGUUGUUAGAGAAGAACACGAGUGAGAGUAACUGUUCAUUCGAUGACGGUAUCUAACCAGCAAGUCACGGCUAACUACGUCACGA
This 164-nucleotide ribosomal RNA is filed under the name uncultured bacterium. RNAcentral's name for it is "partial 16S rRNA". It matches the Rfam family "Bacterial small subunit ribosomal RNA", at positions 355 to 511 of the family's 1533-position model. The record is from RNAcentral.